AGAGUUUGAUCCUGGCUCAGAAUGAACGCUGGCGGCGUGCCUAACACAUGCAAGUCGAACGAGAAAGGUAGCAAUACUAAGUACAGUGGCGCACGGGUGAGAAACGCGUGAGAAUCUCCCUCUAAGUGAAGAAUACCUUGGAGAAAUCCAAGUUAAUACUGCAUAAGCCCGCAAGGGGAAAGGUGGCCUCAAGCUACCGC
RNAcentral lists this ribosomal RNA (200 nucleotides) under uncultured bacterium. Its description in RNAcentral is "partial 16S ribosomal RNA". It matches the Rfam family "Bacterial small subunit ribosomal RNA", at positions 8 to 218 of the family's 1533-position model. The record is from RNAcentral.